UACGAAGGGGGCUAGCGUUGCUCGGAAUCACUGGGCGUAAAGGGUGCGUAGGCGGGUCUUUAAGUCAGGGGUGAAAUCCUGGAGCCCAACUCCAGAACUGCCUUUGAUACUGAAGAUCUUGAGUUCGGGAGAGGUGAGUGGAACUGCGAGUGUAGAGGUGAAAUUCGUAGAUAUUCGCAAGAACACCAGUGGCGAAGGCGGCUCACUGGCCCGAUACUGACGCUGAGGCACGAAAGCGUGGGGAGCAAACAGG
This 253-nucleotide ribosomal RNA is filed under the name uncultured bacterium. Its description in RNAcentral is "partial 16S ribosomal RNA". It matches the Rfam family "Bacterial small subunit ribosomal RNA", at positions 524 to 776 of the family's 1533-position model. The record is from RNAcentral.